This 579-nucleotide long non-coding RNA is filed under the name Panax ginseng (ginseng). RNAcentral describes it as "long non-coding RNA (PGIN_LNC019103)". Lineage: Eukaryota; Viridiplantae; Streptophyta; Magnoliopsida; Apiales; Araliaceae. The record is from RNAcentral.
CCGAAAUUUCUUGAAAUUAGUAGCUACUAGCUUGAUAUUUUGGUGGUUGGAUGCGUUGAUUAUUGAAUAUGUAUUAAUUCUGCAUGAUAUGAUGGUUUUGGGUAUUAAAUGAUGGGUUUUUUUUUGGUGGUUUGGAUAUGUAUGGAUGAUUGUAAGUUUUAUAGACAGGUUUAGAUUUGUCUAAAUAUCUAUUUUUAAAUGAAACUCUGCAAAAAAAAUUUAAAAUCAGUAGCGACUAGCUUGCCCAAAUUUGCAAUGGCCCAGAUGAUUUUUUUGGCCAUAUGUUUGACCAAAUUUACCUUCUUCUUUUUUGCGGUUGGGUCAAUUAUUUUUGAAGUUCUUAUUUUAUUUUAAUUUUUAUUUAAUCAGGCAAAGGAGCUCCAAACCAAUUUGGUUCACAUGAACCUUUUAAAUAAGUGGGUAUCAUUAUGGUAUUUCAUAGCAACAAUGCUUUUACCUAUUAAUGUAUCAGCGACUGGUAUUCCAUGGACAUAUUUGUAUGAUGUAUUGUGCUUAAAAUAGUUUUACUAAUUAAUCCGUGUUCCAUUUAAAAUUGCAAAUUAAAUGAAGGGAAUCAAU